CGCUGGCGGCGCGCCUAAACAUGCAAGUCGAACGAGAAGCCCGGGCUUGCCCGGGUGGACAGUGGCGAACGGGUGAGUAACACGUGAGGAACCUGCCCCGAAGACCGGGACAACACCGGGAAACCGGUGCUAAUACCGGAUACCUUCACCGGAUCGCAUGGUCUGGUGAAGAAAUGGAUUCCGCUUCGGGAUGGCCUCGCGGCCUAUCAGCUAGUUGGUGAGGUAACGGCUCACCAAGGCGACGACGGGUAGCUGGUCUGAGAGGAUGUCCAGCCACACUGGGACUGAGACACGGCCCAGACUCCUACGGGAGGCAGCAGUUAGGAAUCUUGCGCAAUGGACGAAAGUCUGACGCAGCGACGCCGCGUGCGGGAUGAAGGCCUUCGGGUUGUAAACCGCUUUCAGCAGGGACGAAAUUGACGGUACCUGCAGAAGAAGCCCCGGCCAACUACGUGCCAGCAGCCGCGGUAAUACGUAGGGGGCAAGCGUUGUCCGGAUUUAUUGGGCGUAAAGAGCUCGUAGGUGGUUCGGUAAGUCGGAUGUGAAAUCUCCAGGCUCAACCUGGAGGGGUCAUUCGAUACUGCCGUGACUA
This 592-nucleotide ribosomal RNA is filed under the name uncultured soil bacterium. RNAcentral's name for it is "bacterial SSU rRNA". It matches the Rfam family "Bacterial small subunit ribosomal RNA", at positions 34 to 643 of the family's 1533-position model. The record is from RNAcentral.